Drosophila gunungcola (fruit fly) is the source of this 653-nucleotide long non-coding RNA. RefSeq lists it as uncharacterized. The transcript has 2 exons. Lineage: Eukaryota; Metazoa; Arthropoda; Insecta; Diptera; Drosophilidae. The record is from RefSeq and is a predicted model, not a curated record.
AUCGCUGAUUAUUCCCAUGACAUAUGGACUUUUACGGAAAAUCGAAAGUGUUGUACCUUUACUACAAACUCUUCAAGGAAAAACUUUAAACAAAAUAUUGAUGGAAUCAAUCAAGCAACGUCUUUCCGUAUAUGAGCAGAGAACAGUCUGCAGGAUGGCUACGCUUUUGGAUCCACGGUUCAAAAAAAGUGGAUUUCAACAUAGCUCAAACGCUGAACAAGCAGCAACAUGUUUUGAAAAUGAGCUGACCAAUUUUCCAGUUAAAGAGACCGCAAGUAAUCAACCCGUAGCACCGGAUUCAAGUUUACAGGAUACUUUGUUCGAUUUUUUGGGUGAGCGUUCCAUGAAUAAAUUUGUAAACUCAGAAGUCGAUGCAAUUUUAACUAAGAGGCAGUAUCUGGAAAGGGCAAUUGUCGGACAAGAUAUCGACCCUCUAAUAUGGAUGAAGGUGAAUCAAACUGAUUUCCCUGCCAUUGGGAGCCUUUUCGCCAAAUAUCUUUGCAUUCCGGCUACGUCCGUGGAGACUGAAAGAACAUUCAGCAAGGCGGGCCAAAUAAUAUCGGAGAGGCGAACCCGGCUCAAAGAAAAAAAUGUUAACAUUCUUUUGUUUUUAAAUCGCAACUCUUGGCUGAAAUAAAGCAUAUUUUAUUGUA